AGAAGAUAGUUAAAAUAUAAUAUUAAAAUGUCAAUUUAAAGUAACCUUAGGGUCCUUCU
RNAcentral lists this transfer RNA (59 nucleotides) under Teredorus guangxiensis. RNAcentral describes it as "tRNA-Asp". The record is from RNAcentral. Lineage: Eukaryota; Metazoa; Arthropoda; Insecta; Orthoptera; Tetrigidae.